AUGUUUUCCUUCAUAUGUUACGUUUCUCUUCUUCCAAUGUUAACUUUAAUUCAAAAAUUCUACAACAUCCUCUCUUUCUCUCUCUCUCUCUCCUCUUUCUUCUGCUCUCUUUCUUCCAUCUACCUGUUCCUUUUUCUCUUCUUCUUCCUUCUUUCUCUUUUAUUAUCUGAAACGAUAAUGGUGUCCGAAUCGAUUUACGAUGCACGAAUCUGUUUUAUUGAGAUUUUAGGGUUUCAAACUGUGCGAAUCAGUUAG
Non-coding RNA from Vicia faba (fava bean), 255 nucleotides. The record is from the annotation of a GenBank genome assembly. NCBI's taxonomy places the organism in Eukaryota, Viridiplantae, Streptophyta, Magnoliopsida, Fabales, Fabaceae.